GUUCGAUCCCCGGUACCAAAUAAAUAAAUAAAUAAAUAGUAGUUUCUCUACAACUGAUGGCCAGAAUGGGAGUGAGAAGAACCCUGAGAAGGACUCGUGCAAUGUGGCUGGUUUAAAGGUGAGUAAGUAGAGGACCAUGAGAGAAAGGAUGCAAGCAGGCUGGAGGGAGAAGCCCCAACUGAUGGUCAUGAGAAAUGGACACCUAUAGACUUACAGUUACAAGGAACUGGAUUCUGCCACCAACCUAACUGACCUUGGAAAGAGAUUCAUCUCCAGAGCCACCGGUAAGAGCCCCACUGACACCAUGGUAAGACACUGAGGAGAGAACCCUGGCAGAACCCACCCAGAAUUCUGACUGUACAGAUUUGUGAGACAAUGAACAGCCACUGUGAGACAAUGGUUUUGAAGCUACCCAGUUUGUGGUAACAUGGUAACCUGUUAGGCAGCAAUGGAAAACUAAUACAGGCAUUUAAACAGAUGAAUGAUAAAAGCAAAGCCCUUUUAUCAUAAUCUUUCUAACCAUACCUUUAACAUUAGAAAAAGCAUAUUUGGGAAUAGUCCAAUGAGUUUAACUUCCCUUUCUUUACUAAUUAUUUGCAGAGGCCUCUUUGCUCCAUGGAAAGCCUGGGCCCUCAGCCAACAGGGGGUCCCUGGGCCUAGAAGUCAGAGCAAGAUGCAGUGAUGACCUAUACUUAAUGUCCAGAAAAGGGCAUUACUCCAGGAAUCAGAGUGAUACCCCCUCAUACCAGCAACCAAAGACUUGCCAACACCAGAAGAGAAAACUGAAGCUCAGAGAAGUUGAGUAGCUGCUAUUUACUGAAUGUUUGUUUUCCUCUAAAAUUC
Heterocephalus glaber (naked mole-rat) is the source of this 843-nucleotide long non-coding RNA. Lineage: Eukaryota; Metazoa; Chordata; Mammalia; Rodentia; Bathyergidae. The record is from Ensembl.